Molecule: non-coding RNA, 372 nt
Organism: Paramisgurnus dabryanus
Lineage: Eukaryota; Metazoa; Chordata; Actinopteri; Cypriniformes; Cobitidae
Source: RefSeq, a predicted model, not a curated record
AUAACCCGAAUCCUUAAAAAGAUCCGGGUUGACCAUCACUAGUGGAUGCCUUUGCUGUCCGUAGCCUGAGAUUUCAGAUUUGCAGCAAAAAAUUUUAGAUUUUCUCAUUUAUUGGAAUGCUAUGCAGGUAUUUGUACCUUGCAGCCAUCCAUUACAAUGUCACCAAGCCGUAACAAAAGCAGGAGAGGGAAAGUACAAGGCUAUGUUCCCAAAACACACAAGUGACAUACCUUAUGUGGAGGAUGUGAUCAGGCUUGUGUUUGCUGAGGUAUUUGAAGAUAAGCUGAAGGAAGCCCUGAUUCCAAUGGACCUGGCAUCACAGUUUGAGAGACCUUCAAAGGAGGACGUGAUUGCAUGCCAUCUUCAGUGCAG